GGUGCACAUGAUGUUAGAUGCGAUCAAAGUAUGAAUAAGUAUGAUUCCAGCUUAAUAAUCUACUGAUGCACC
Molecule: small nucleolar RNA, 72 nt
Organism: Gasterosteus aculeatus aculeatus (three-spined stickleback)
Lineage: Eukaryota; Metazoa; Chordata; Actinopteri; Perciformes; Gasterosteidae
Source: Ensembl